CCUACGGGAGGCAGCAGUGGGGAAUUUUGCGCAAUGGGGGCAACCCUGACGCAGCAACGCCGCGUGAGUGAUGAAGGCCUUCGGGUCGUAAAGCUCUGUCAGAGGGGAAGAAAUGCAGGUGGUGAACAACCAUUCUGUUUGACGGUACCCUCAAAGGAAGCACCGGCUAACUCCGUGCCAGCAGCCGCGGUAAUACGGAGGGUGCGAGCGUUGUUCGGAAUUAUUGGGCGUAAAGCGCGUGUAGGCGGUUUGUGAAGUCUGAGGUGAAAGCCCCGGGCUCAACCGGGGAAGGGCAUUGGAGACUGGCAGACGUGAGUACGGGAGAGGAAAGUGAAAUUCCCAGUGUAGGAGUGAAAUCCGUAGAUAUUGGGAGGAACACCGGUGGCGAAGGCGGCUCCCUGGACCGAUACUGACGCUGAGACGCAAAAGCGUGGGGAGCAAACAGGAUUAGAUCCCCCU
This 459-nucleotide ribosomal RNA is filed under the name uncultured Geobacteraceae bacterium. RNAcentral describes it as "partial 16S ribosomal RNA". It matches the Rfam family "Bacterial small subunit ribosomal RNA", at positions 338 to 788 of the family's 1533-position model. The record is from RNAcentral. Lineage: Bacteria; Pseudomonadati; Thermodesulfobacteriota; Desulfuromonadia; Geobacterales; Geobacteraceae.